UACGUAGGGUGCAAGCGUUGUCCGGAAUUAUUGGGCGUAAAGAGCUCGUAGGCGGUUUGUCGCGUCGAAUGUGAAAACCCGGGGCUCAACCCCGGGCCUGCAUUCGAUACGGGCAGACUUGAGUCCGGUAGGGGCGAGUGGAAUUCCUGGUGUAGCGGUGAAAUGCGCAGAUAUCAGGAGGAACACCAAUGGCGAAGGCAGCUCGCUGGAACGGUACUGACGCUGAGGCGCGAAAGCGUGGGGAGCGAACAGG
Molecule: ribosomal RNA, 253 nt
Filed under: uncultured bacterium
Lineage: Bacteria
Description: partial 16S ribosomal RNA
Rfam family: Bacterial small subunit ribosomal RNA
Source: RNAcentral